Molecule: ribosomal RNA, 75 nt
Filed under: uncultured bacterium
Lineage: Bacteria
Description: partial 16S ribosomal RNA
Source: RNAcentral
CGGUAACACCCGAAAGCCGGUGGCCCAACCCUUGUGGGGGAGCCGUCGAAGGUGGGACUGGGCGAGUUAGGACGG